RNAcentral lists this ribosomal RNA (253 nucleotides) under uncultured bacterium. RNAcentral's name for it is "partial 16S ribosomal RNA". It matches the Rfam family "Bacterial small subunit ribosomal RNA", at positions 524 to 776 of the family's 1533-position model. The record is from RNAcentral.
UACGUAGGGUGCGAGCGUUGUCCGGAAUUACUGGGCGUAAAGAGCUCGCAGGUGGUUUGUCGCGUUGUUCGUGAAAACUCACAGCUCAACUGUGGGCGUGCGGGCGAUACGGGCAGACUGGAGUACUGCAGGGGAGACUGGAAUUCCUGGUGUGGCGGUGGAAUGCGCAGAUAUCAGGAGGAACACCGGUGGCGAAGGCGGGUCUCUGGGCAGUAACUGACGCUGAGGAGCGAAAGCGUGGGGAGCGAACAGG